Molecule: ribosomal RNA, 1243 nt
Filed under: uncultured bacterium
Lineage: Bacteria
Description: partial 16S ribosomal RNA
Rfam family: Bacterial small subunit ribosomal RNA
Source: RNAcentral
UUUAGUGGCGGACUGGUGAGUAACGCGUGAGCAACCUGCCUAUUAGAGGGGAAUAACAGUGAGAAAUCAUUGCUAAUACCGCAUAUGCCAUAGGUACCACAUGGUACUAGUGGGAAAGGAGUAAUCCGCUAAUAGAUGGGCUCGCGUCUGAUUAGAUAGUUGGUGGGGUAACGGCCUACCAAGUCGACGAUCAGUAGCCGGACUGAGAGGUUGAACGGCCACAUUGGGACUGAGAUACGGCCCAGACUCCUACGGGAGGCAGCAGUGGGGAAUAUUGGGCAAUGGGCGCAAGCCUGACCCAGCAACGCCGCGUGAAGGAAGAAGGCUUUCGGGUUGUAAACUUCUUUUAAGAGGGAAGAGGAGAAGACGGUACCUCUAGAAUAAGCCACGGCUAACUACGUGCCAGCAGCCGCGGUAAUACGUAGGGAGCAAGCGUUAUCCGGAUUUAUUGGGUGUAAAGGGUGCGUAGACGGGAGAACAAGUUAGUUGUGAAAGCCCUCGGCUUAACUGAGGAACUGCAACUAAAACUAUUUUUCUUGAGUGCAGGAGAGGAAAGCGGAAUUCCUAGUGUAGCGGUGAAAUGCGUAGAUAUUAGGAGGAACACCAGUGGCGAAGGCGGCUUUCUGGACUGUAACUGUCGUUGAGGCACGAAAGUGUGGGGAGCAAACAGGAUUAGAUACCCUGGUAGUCCGCACGGUAAACGAUGGAUGCCCGCUGUUGGCCUGAAUAGGUCAGCGGCCAAGCGAAAGCAUUAAGCAUCCCACCUGGGGAGUACGCCGGCAACGGUGAAACUCAAAGGAAUUGACGGGGGCCCGCACAAGCGGAGGAACAUGUGGUUUAAUUCGAUGAUACGCGAGGAACCUUACCCGGGCUUGAAUUGCAGAGGAAGGAUUUGGAGACAAUGACGCCCCUCGGGGCCUCUGUGAAGGUGCUGCAUGGUUGUCGUCAGCUCGUGCCGUGAGGUGUCGGCUUAAGUGCCAUAACGAGCGCAACCCCUCUCCUUAGUUGCCAUCAGGUCAAGCUGGGCACUCUGAGGACACUGCCACCGUAAGGUGCGAGGAAGGUGGGGAUGACGUCAAAUCAGCACGGCCCUUACGUCCGGGGCUACACACGUGUUACAAUGGCAGGUACAGAGAGCCGGUCUGAUGCAAAUCAGAUCCAAUCCUUAAAGCCUGUCUCAGUUCGGACUGGGGUCUGCAACCCGACCCCACGAAGCUGGAUUCGCUAGUAAUCGCGCAUCAGC